Molecule: ribosomal RNA, 484 nt
Filed under: uncultured bacterium
Lineage: Bacteria
Description: partial 16S ribosomal RNA
Rfam family: Bacterial small subunit ribosomal RNA
Source: RNAcentral
AUUGAACGCUGGCGGCAGGCCUAACACAUGCAAGUCGAGCGGAUGAAGGGAGCUUGCUCCUGGAUUCAGCGGCGGACGGGUGAGUAAUGCCUAGGAAUCUGCCUGGUAGUGGGGGAUAACGUCCGUAAACGGGCGCUAAUACCGCAUACGUCCUGAGGGAGAAAGUGGGUGAUCUUCGGACCUCACGCUAUCAGAUGAGCCUAGGUCGGAUUAGCUAGUUGGUGGGGUAAAGGCCUACCAAGGCGACGAUCCGUAACUGGUCUGAGAGGAUGAUCAGUCACACUGGAACUGAGACACGGUCCAGACUCCUACGGGAGGCAGCAGUGGGGAAUAUUGGACAAUGGGCGAAAGCCUGAUCCAGCCAUGCCGCGUGUGUGAAGAAGGUCUUCGGAUUGUAAAGCACUUUAAGUUGGGAGGAAGGGCAGUAAGUUAAUACCUUGCUGUUUUGACGUUACCAACAGAAUAAGCACCGGCUAACUUCGUG